This 1310-nucleotide long non-coding RNA is filed under the name Toxoplasma gondii VEG. Lineage: Eukaryota; Apicomplexa; Conoidasida; Eucoccidiorida; Sarcocystidae. The record is from RNAcentral.
GCUUCUCGGGGUGCUUCGAAAUAUUACUACCGAACCGCAAUAAACAAAGAAAAAGAAGCACUAGGAGGGCCAGUGAAAGUUCAUGUUAGGCGGGUGCUUAACUGUUGGAUUCCGCGUUUGUAAAGAGUCGCAGAAGGCGGAGAGGAAGUGGUAAGAGACUACGGAAAGUUUUCUUCGAGAAGUCAAGCAGUCACAGCGGAGAUAUGAGGCACUUCAGCGACUGAGAAGACGGUGGCAUUAACGUCAGAGUCACGCGCUCACGAAGUGACGCAUGUAAAGUUGUUGGUAGAUGACGUUUUUAGGGAGAAGAGCCGUGCAUGGUACCGUACGGUGAGAAAUGGUAUACACAGUGGGACUCUGUACGAAACUGGAACCAAACUGCGGACACAGUGCACGGUAGCAGCACUCCACAAGUUAACAAGUAGUAGCAGAUGAAAACCCACCGACGAUGGAAGAAUGUUGUGGGGUUAAGGCUACGGUGUGUGUCACCCCGUUAAACCUCUGUGUUCGUGGUAAUACAAAGGUUAUUCAAGAGCAGACUCGGAAUAUACUGCAGCGUAGGAUGUUCCCGGUAAUUCGUUGCUUGCGGGUUUCACUAACCAAGAUGAGUUUGGGAAUUACAGCGUGACACAGAACAGGGCGGGUGUUCUCACACCGGCCGGCGAGGAAAGCGUGUGCGAGCGAAACGGUUGAUACGUGCAAUAGAUUCAAUGCUCGGAGAAGGCCAAACAAACACGAAUUUUGCAUGGUCACUUCGUGUAUAGCAGCAUCGCUGCUGAUGUGUCAGGUGUUUUGUGGCCAGGUACAGUUAUCCGAAAGUCGGCGCAAAGGAACCCAUGAGGCGUAUCCAAUGAAUCCUUUCGCCGUGUGCUCAGAAGUGGCACACCAGUACAGUUGUGAUAGACGUCGUGCUGUUUCUUGUUCAUAAACUGAUGGGUGCACUUCUGCCUGAGUAUCUGGAGAGAUGUAAUCAUCGACGAAGGCUUGCCGGUCUGCCCGCAUACACAUCGCGGUGGUGUCAUUUCAUUGAACUAACCGGAUGAGACAAUGCUUAGGAAAGAUGAAGUUUCUUGUUACAUGAGCUUCGUUGUUAAGGGGAAUGCAUACGUGGUCAGUGGCUAACUGCCACCUCAGCACUACUACACCUGGAGGCGCCUUGCAUCUCCUGUCUCACCCUUCGUUUUCCGUCUUUUGGUCAACGUUAACAGCCACCAUUAUCCAUUGGCAGGAAACCCCUGUGAGUCACAUAUUUGAGGAAGGUCUACCUCAUAAUUUGACAACGCGCAUUUUCUGUAAGUGGCUGUGUACCG